CCUACGGGCGGCAGCAGUGAGGAAUAUUGGUCAAUGGCCGGAAGGCUGAACCAGCCAUGCCGCGUGAAGGUCAGUGCCCUAUGGGCGUUAAACUUCUUUUGUGCGGGAGCAAUAAUGGUCACGUGUGGCCAGACGAGAGUACCGUACGAAUAAGCAUCGGCUAACUCCGUGCCAGCAGCCGCGGUAAUACGGGGGAUGCAAGCGUUAUCCGGAUUUAUUGGGUUUAAAGGGUGCGUAGGCUGUGAGGUAAGUCAGCGGUGAAAUGCCCCCGCUCAACGGGGUGAAGUGCCAUUGAUAGUGCCUGGCUGGAAUGCGGAUGCCGUGGGAGGAAUGUGUGGUGUAGCGGUGAAAUGCAGAGAUAUCACACAGAACACCGAUUGCGAAGGCAUCUCACGAAUCCGCGAUUGACGCUGAUGCACGAAAGCGUGGGUAUCAAACAGGAUUAGAUACCCUAGUAGUC
Molecule: ribosomal RNA, 460 nt
Filed under: uncultured bacterium
Lineage: Bacteria
Description: partial 16S ribosomal RNA
Rfam family: Bacterial small subunit ribosomal RNA
Source: RNAcentral